AUCCCCAAACCUCCCAUCCUCGUCGUCCUCUGAAUCUGCUUCGCGAUCGAAUUUGGAUUCGAUUGGGGGAGCCAAUCUACCACACCCGCCGCGCGCCGACAUACUAUGGUUCACGCCCGCCGCCGCCCAUCGCCACCGCCGUCGUCCUCCUCGCCGAUGCUCCACAAGAACCUCCGCGCGCUCGGCCCCGGCUUGAAUCCCUUCGCUCCUUUCGGCAUGGGCAACUACUCCCUCGCUUCCUCCUCCC
Molecule: long non-coding RNA, 247 nt
Filed under: Setaria italica (foxtail millet)
Lineage: Eukaryota; Viridiplantae; Streptophyta; Magnoliopsida; Poales; Poaceae
Description: long non-coding RNA (SITA_LNC000008)
Source: RNAcentral